This 275-nucleotide ribosomal RNA is filed under the name uncultured Segetibacter sp. Its description in RNAcentral is "partial 16S ribosomal RNA". It matches the Rfam family "Bacterial small subunit ribosomal RNA", at positions 338 to 610 of the family's 1533-position model. Lineage: Bacteria; Pseudomonadati; Bacteroidota; Chitinophagia; Chitinophagales; Chitinophagaceae. The record is from RNAcentral.
CCUACGGGGGGCUGCAGUAAGGAAUAUUGGUCAAUGGAGGCAACUCUGAACCAGCCAUGCCGCGUGAAGGAUGAAGGCCCUCCGGGUUGUAAACUUCUUUUAUGUGGGAAGAAAUGCAGGCAUUCUUGCCUGUUUGACGGUACCAUAGGAAUAAGCACCGGCUAACUCCGUGCCAGCAGCCGCGGUAAUACGGAGGGUGCAAGCGUUAUCCGGAUUCACUGGGUUUAAAGGGUGCGUAGGCGGGCAGGUAAGUCAGUGGUGAAAUCCCGGAGCUU